RNAcentral lists this long non-coding RNA (249 nucleotides) under Lathyrus oleraceus (garden pea). Its description in RNAcentral is "Pisum sativum (pea) long non-coding RNA (PSAT_LNC032031)". The record is from RNAcentral. Lineage: Eukaryota; Viridiplantae; Streptophyta; Magnoliopsida; Fabales; Fabaceae.
UGAAUUCCCUGUAUUCGAAGCGGAAGAAGAUGAUGUUGAAGGGACUCCUGACGAGAUUUCCCAACUUCUUGAGCAAGAAAAGAAGAUCACUCAGCUGCAUCUCGAGAAUCAGCAGAACAGCCAACUGGGGCAUUACAAAAAAGAAAAAAAAGAAAAAAAAAGAAAGAGAGGAGGGUGCAAAAUCAAAAGAAAUCAAAAGAAAUCCAAAUCAAAAGAAAGAAAAAGAAAGAAAGAAACAAAAGAAAAAAU